AUGGGCGCAAGCCUGAUGCAGCGACGCCGCGUGAGGGAUGACGGCCUUCGGGUUGUAAACCUCUUUCAGUAGGGAAGAAGCGUAAGUGACGGUACCUGCAGAAGAAGCGCCGGCUAACUACGUGCCAGCAGCCGCGGUAAUACGUAGGGCGCAAGCGUUAUCCGGAAUUAUUGGGCGUAAAGAGCUCGUAGGCGGUUUGUCGCGUCUGCCGUGAAAGUCCGGGGCUCAACUCCGGAUCUGCGGUGGGUACGGGCAGACUAGAGUGAUGUAGGGGAGACUGGAAUUCCUGGUGUAGCGGUGAAAUGCGCAGAUAUCAGGAGGAACACCGAUGGCGAAGGCAGGUCUCUGGGCAUUAACUGACGCUGAGGAGCGAAAGCAUGGGGAGCGAACAGGAUUAGAUACCCUGGUAGUCCAUGCCGUAAACGUUGGGCACUAGGUGUGGGGGACAUUCCACGUUUUCCGCGCCGUAGCUAACGCAUUAAGUGCCCCGCCUGGGGAGUACGGCCGCAAGGCUAAAACUCAAAGGAAUUGACGGGGGCCCGCACAAGCGGCGGAGCAUGCGGAUUAAUUCGAUGCAACGCGAAGAACCUUACCAAGGCUUGACAUGGACCAGACCGGACUGGAAACAGUUCUUCCACUUGUGGCUGGUUUACAGGUGGUGCAUGGUUGUCGUCAGCUCGUGUCGUGAGAUGUUGGGUUAAGUCCCGCAACGAGCGCAACCCUCGUUCUAUGUUGCCAGCACGUGAUGGUGGGGACUCAUAGGAGACUGCCGGGGUCAACUCGGAGGAAGGUGGGGACGACGUCAAAUCAUCAUGCCCCUUAUGUCUUGGGCUUCACGCAUGCUACAAUGGCCGGUACAAAGGGUUGCGAUACUGUGAGGUGGAGCUAAUCCCAAAAAGCCGGUCUCAGUUCGGAUUGGGGUCUGCAACUCGACCCCAUGAAGUCGGAGUCGCUAGUAAUCGCAGAUCAGCAACGCUGCGGUGAAUACGUUCCCGGGCCUUGUACACACCGCCCGUCAAGUCACGAAAGUUGGUAACACCCGAAGCCG
RNAcentral lists this ribosomal RNA (1048 nucleotides) under Arthrobacter sp. CON39-2. RNAcentral's name for it is "bacterial SSU rRNA". It matches the Rfam family "Bacterial small subunit ribosomal RNA", at positions 371 to 1429 of the family's 1533-position model. The record is from RNAcentral. Lineage: Bacteria; Bacillati; Actinomycetota; Actinomycetes; Micrococcales; Micrococcaceae.